AACGAACGCUGGCGGCAGGCCUAACACAUGCAAGUCGAGCGCCCCGCAAGGGGAGCGGCGGACGGGUGAGUAACGCGUGGGAACGUGCCUCUUGCUACGGAAUAGCCUCGGGAAACUGGGAGUAAUACCGUAUAAGCCCUACGGGGGAAAGAUUUAUCGGCAAGAGAUCGGCCCGCGUUGGAUUAGGUAGUUGGUGGGGUAAUGGCCUACCAAGCCGACGAUCCAUAGCUGGUUUGAGAGGAUGAUCAGCCACACUGGGACUGAGACACGGCCCAGACUCCUACGGGAGGCAGCAGUGGGGAAUCUUAGACAAUGGGCGCAAGCCUGAUCUAGCCAUGCCGCGUGAGCGAUGAAGGCCUUAGGGUUGUAAAGCUCUUUCGUGGGGGAAGAUAAUGGCUGUACCCCAAGAAGAAGCCCCGGCUAACUCCGUGCCAGCCGCCGCGGUAA
RNAcentral lists this ribosomal RNA (447 nucleotides) under uncultured bacterium. Its description in RNAcentral is "partial 16S ribosomal RNA". It matches the Rfam family "Bacterial small subunit ribosomal RNA", at positions 29 to 523 of the family's 1533-position model. The record is from RNAcentral.